UCCCGGGUGGUGUAACGGUAGCACAUCGCCCUUUGGAGGCGGUAGUCCUGGUUCGAAUCCAGGCUCGGGAG
This 71-nucleotide transfer RNA is filed under the name Elusimicrobia bacterium RIFCSPLOWO2_01_FULL_59_12. Its description in RNAcentral is "tRNA-Gln". It matches the Rfam family "tRNA". From Rfam's summary of the family: Transfer RNA (tRNA) molecules are approximately 80 nucleotides in length. Lineage: Bacteria; Pseudomonadati; Elusimicrobiota. The record is from RNAcentral.